Long non-coding RNA from Lycium barbarum (goji berry), 779 nucleotides. RefSeq lists it as uncharacterized. NCBI's taxonomy places the organism in Eukaryota, Viridiplantae, Streptophyta, Magnoliopsida, Solanales, Solanaceae. The record is from RefSeq and is a predicted model, not a curated record. The transcript has 3 exons.
AAUUAUUUUAUGCCUAAAAUCAAAGCUUUCUUUUCCUAUUAAAGAGCCAAAACCCUACAAAACUAAGCACUCAAAAGAAAGGUGCCGUCACCAAUCUUCAAAUUUCUUUGACUCCACAACUAGGCCUUUUAGCCUCAACUUCAACUAAUCUCUUUUAUGAUUCAGAAUUGAAUACGCCUAUGAAUAUUUGUACCCAAAAACUUGUUCCAUCUUUUGUGACCCACAUGGGUUAGGAAACGUGGACAGAUUUUUUGUUUAGCCAAGGGCAUGGAGUUGCGGAUCAGGAAGAGCUCAAGGUCAACAAUCAAAUGACGCAAAUCUAACUCUUUUGGAUGAGUGAUGAAAGCAUCAAAAUCGACGAGGACAUGAAUAAUCGUUCUUUUUUCUGGUAAAUAUAUCGAUAUGUUUGAAUAGACUGACGUUUCACUAUUUUAAAUAAUAUAGUUGAACCUUUAUUAAGUCUUUUUUUCUAAUAUAUUGCAUUUAUUACGUAACUAAGCAUAUUCUGCUAACAAUAAUUGUGGUAAAAUUUUCAAUUGGUAGCUAUGAAAUUUUUUAAUUCGUAGCUAAACAUAAAUAUAAUUGCCACGCAAAUGAGAACAUGGACACACAUUUUUAUUUCCAUAGCAAAUUAAGAAAAUCUUUUGCUACAAUUUAUCCCCCGUGACAAAAAAGUAUGGAAGUUUAGCUAUGAGUUUUUGAAUUCGUAGCUAGACAUAUAUACUCCUAUAAUUGCCACGUAUCAAGAACAUGGCUAUGGAUUUUCACUUUCCGUAGCA